Molecule: ribosomal RNA, 490 nt
Filed under: uncultured bacterium
Lineage: Bacteria
Description: partial 16S ribosomal RNA
Rfam family: Bacterial small subunit ribosomal RNA
Source: RNAcentral
GAUGAACGCUCGCGGCAGGCUUAAUACAUGCAAGUCGAGGGGCAGCACGUUUCGCAGCCCUGCGGGAUGGUGGCGACCGGCAAACGGGUGAGGAUCGCGUACACAAUCUUCCCAGAGCAGGGGGAUAACCCGGGGAAACCCGGACUAAUACCCCGUAGUUUACUUUGAAGGCAUCUUUGAGGUAAUAAAACUCCGGUGGCUUUGGAUGAGUGUGCGUCCCAUUAGGUGGUUGGUAGGGUCACGGCCUACCAAGCCUUCGAUGGGUAACUGGUGUGAGAGCACGACAAGUCACACGGGAGAUACGGCACGGACCCGAAUCCUACGGGAGGCAGCAGUAAGGAAGAUUGGUCAAUGGACGCAAGUCUGAACCAGCCAUGCCGCGUGAAGGAGGAAGGUCCUCUGGAUUGUAAACUUCUUUUAUAGAGGGCGAAAAAAGGGUUUUUUAACGCACUUGACGGUACCUUAUGAAUAAGCACCGGCUAACUCCGUG